Molecule: ribosomal RNA, 813 nt
Filed under: uncultured bacterium
Lineage: Bacteria
Description: bacterial SSU rRNA
Rfam family: Bacterial small subunit ribosomal RNA
Source: RNAcentral
AGAGUUUGAUCAUGGCUCAGAAACGAACGCUGGCGGCGUGGAUAAGACAUGCAAGUCGGACGGGACUAUUUCUAGUAGCAAUACCGGGGAUAGUUUAGUGGCGAACGGGUGCGUAACACGUGGGCAAUCUGCCGAAAAGUGGGGGAUAGCUCGCCGAAAGGCGAAUUAAUACCGCAUGUGGUGAGGGGAGACAUCUUUCUGAAUCCAAAGCCGGGGCAACCUGGCGCUUUUUGAGGAGCCCGCGGCCUAUCAGCUAGUUGGUGAGGUAACGGCUCACCAAGGCGGUGACGGGUAGCUGGUCUGAGAGGACGACCAGUCACACUGGAACUGAGACACGGUCCAGACACCUACGGGUGGCAGCAGUCGAGAAUUUUUCUCAAUGGGGGAAACCCUGAAGGAGCGACGCCGCGUGGAGGAUGAAGGCUUUCGGGUUGUAAACUCCUGUCAUUUGGGAACAAGGCGCAUUUAUUAACUGUAAGUGCGUUGAUAGUACCAGAAGAGGAAGGGACGGCUAACUCUGUGCCAGCAGCCGCGGUAAUACAGAGGUCUCAAGCGUUGUUCGGAUUCAUUGGGCGUAAAGGGUGCGUAGGUGGCGCUGUAAGUCGGGUGUGAAAUUUCGGAGCUUAACUCCGAAACUGCAUUCGAUACUGCGGUGCUUGAGGACUGGAGAGGAGACUGGAAUUCAUGGUGUAGCCAGUGAAAUGCGUAGAGAUCAUGAGGAAGACCAGUGGCGAAGGCGGGUCUCUGGACAGUUCCUGACACUGAGGCACGAAGGCCAGGGGGGGCGGACGGGAUUAGAUACCCCCGUAGUCC